GUUGCUGCAGUCUGUGUGCCCUGAGCCAAGGUUCUACAGUGUCUCUUUCCAGGUCCCCAAGCUCGGAUUCCCUGUCUGUCCCAGGGACAAUGCGGCAUUAACACAACGGGGGAUCAGUCUCUGCGCAAAAAGUUCCAAUAUGAGGGAGAAGAGGCUCACAACUGAGCCUCCAGAUAUAACAGAAGAUGCAUUUGAAGAUUAUUUAGCGACGGAUGAUAUGCUUGUGAACUACUUUAAUGAAUUCUUGAGUCUUCCAACCUUUGCAGAGCCAGUUAAGUUUAACCCUGAUUUUGACGUUUUUGAAGUAGUUAAUGAUACCCCACAAUGUCUGGAAAACCAGCUGAAAAAAAUUCUUCAUGAUCAGAAACCUCCCAGUCCCAUUUAUGAUGUUACAAGGAAGGCAAAAAACGAUGGGCAGCUUUCCAAAAAGAGCAGCAUUUUUCCAGUCUUCAGUGUUGACCCAAAUUACAGUAUUAUGUGUCUUGAGCGAGAACAGGGAAUUCAGUGGAUUAAGCAAGAAAGACUCCCAGCCUUUCUAAAAAGUGAUUGUUACUUUGAAUACAGGUUAGCUAAACUGCUUUCGCAGGUAGAAUGGAGCAGAACUGGUAUUAACUUCAUUAUAGAUACAACAUAUUAUCCCUGGAUUAUGAAAAGAGAGCUGAUACCUCCUUUUCCUGAGGAGGGUGAAGAGGAAUUAAUUAUGAGAAAGUUCUGUGUUUCACUUGGCCAGGCUACAGUUACUCAGACAAAGGAUUGGUUUACACUAGCCAAAAAAAGUCAGCAAACAACAACUACAGAUACAAUUACUCAUCCUUUAGUUUCCACUCAAAUUCAAGGCACACAGUAUUGGUCUACAGGCCCUCAGAGAACUGUUGCAUACAACCACAAUGUCAGUCCAGAUUCCAUUCCUUUUCAAGGCACAUGUAGUUUUUCUGCUCAGUCUUACACAGCAGAUUUAUACAGCAAUAGCAGCAGUAAUCUAGGAGUGAAUUCCCUGGCUAUGGAAUACAGUCAAAGGAGUCUCCCCCUCCUACAGAGGACAGGAACUUCAAAAAUUAGCAAUGUUAGUGGGAGAUCCAAAAGUACAGAGCUUUACACUUCUGUAUCCAUUGCUGACACUCCUUCCCAUACUAUGUUGAGAGUAUACCUAGACCAGAAAUGGGAGAAUGGUGCUGAGGAGAAAGAAAACCUGGAAUUCGAUGGUAGACUGGAAAUGCCAGCUUUUCAAACAUUAGAAGAGUUUACAUCAGCUUAUAUUCAGUAUAUAGUGAGUGAAUCAAUCUCAAAACUGACGGGACAACCGGCUGCUAAGAGCAAGACUGAUAUGAACUUCAGUAAACUGUCCAAUGUAUUUAUACAUGAGUUAUCAAAUAAUCAACUUUCUGCUACUGCUGCAGAGCCACUUACUUCCCAAAGUGUCUCUCCAUCCAACAAGUUAGACUCCAAAGGUCAUUGCAUAAAACAGGAGACUGAAGAAGUGAGUUCAAGUUCAAGGUCUGAAAGUGAUGUCACGGACAGUCGGGCUGCCUGGUGUACCAGUCACAGAGCUUAUGAUAUUGGCAACAGAAAUGAGUUUGAAAGAUUCAAGAAGUUCAUAAAAGGAACUUUGGGUGAAAGGUACUGGUGGCUCUGGAUGGACAUUGAAAGAUUAAAGGUCCUUAAGGACACUAGAAGGCAGCAAAGACAGCUUGAUAAAAUGAAAAAACUCUAUCUAGUGAGCAGUGGAGAUUAUUUUCUCAACUCAGAAGUCUUAUUCAAACUGGACCUGCUACUUGGAGACCAGUGGAAUACAAGACACUUAAAAUGGAUUCAACCUGAAGUAGUGAAACCUUUACUUCUUUACUGGGGUCCCAGAUUUUGUGUCACUCAUACAGCUGCAAUACAAACUGCCAGUGCAAAGUUGAAGCAGUGGCACACCUCUCACGAGAGACCAAGGACAGAUAUUGAUCCUUACCCACAAAUGGUGACAUUGUUGCCACUGCGAGCUAAAUCUUGUAUUCCAAGGUUAGCACCUUCCCAUCCUCAGAGAAAUGAAACCAGCUUACCCACAACCUUAUUAAAAACAAAUGUGAUGAAUUUAUCUUCUAAGAGAGCUACCAGAUUAUUGUCAGCUACCCUGCCACCAAGUGCAACCAUCAUAAGGGAUGAUUUCUACAGUGUAACCAGUAAAUCUGAUGUUAGUAGAAACAGGCCAAAAUCAGUGGGAAGCAACAUGACUCGUCUCUCAGCUGUUACUGAUGAUACAAAAUGCUUGAAGUCCCAGACAGAUAGAAAAUACACCUAUGCUGAGUUGCUCCCAGGUAAAAGUCCUACAGAGAGUAUUGUCCUAGGAGGUUCUAAAAUGGAAUGCAUGCUGCAGUCUCUUUAUGUGGAGAACAGAGCAGGCUACUUCUUCACACGCUUCUGUGAGAAGUCAGGGAAUGAGCUGUGGAAGAACAGUGCGUACUUUUGGUUUGACCUACAGGCUUAUCAUCAACUUUUCUACCAAGAAACCCUUCAGCCUUUUAAACUAUGCAAGCAAGCUCAAUUCCUUUAUGCCACUUACAUUGCUCCUUCUGCCAGCAUGGAUAUUGGACUGCAACAGGAUAAGAAAAAUGAGAUUUAUCAGAAAAUUGAGCCACCUUAUGAGGAUCUUUUUGACCCAGCAGAAGAAUAUAUCCUCACCCUUCUGCUGGUACCAUGGAUGAAAAUGGUGGAAGUAGACAAAUGCAUUUAUGGAAAGGUGGAGCUGGUGGAAGAAAGUCGACAGCUGGACUCAGUGUACUUUAGAAAGCUACAGUCUUUGCAUCAAGAGAGUGUUUCCAAGAAGGAUGAGAGUUUUGCUCCUGAAGUCAGUCCCCUACCUCAGCCUGAUGUUGUCCGAGAAGCACAGCUCUUAAAUGAAGUCCCUGAGGAAUACAGGGGUUGUAGCCUUCACGACCUGAUCCGCAAUGGACUCGAGUUAGAACAGUUCCGACUCUUUCUUGAAGAGCAUUCUGCAGUCAUGGAUCUCAUGUGCUGGAUAGAUAUUGAACAAUUCAGAAGGAUGCUCCACAAGGAAAAAGAAAAAAGAGAGGAAAAAUCUAAAGAUAUUAAAAACAAGUACCUAAAUAAAAAAUACUUUUUUGGACCCAAUAGUCCAGCUACAAAAGCACAACAAGACCAGGUAAUGCAGUCAGGUGGAGGCUGGGGACGCAUACUUCAUGAUCGACUUUCCUCCGCAGUUCUGCUAGAAAUUCAAAAAUACGUCCAGAUGAGGCUAGAAAAAAAGUGGCUGCCAUUGUUCCUGGCAAAAGAACAAUCUCGGACACGUAGAAAAACAAAGCCACAGAUAAGGGACAUAGCUGAAGAUCUCCUAAUCCAGAGAAAUGAGAAGAAGAUUGGGUCCUGGAAGGCAAGUAAACAUGUGGACAAUAAGUGGGUUUCUUCAUCUAGAGAAAUAAUCAUGUUCCGUAAAGCGCUGCUGAAUCCAGUAACAGCAUUACAGUUUCAGCGCUUUGUGUCUUUGAAAGGAGAUUUAAUGGAGAAUGGAGUGCUCUUCUGGCAAGAGGUUCAGAAAUAUAAGGAUUUGUGCCAUUCUCACUGUGAUGAUGCCACUAUCCAGAAUAAGAUCACAGCUAUCAUCAACUGCUUUAUUAAUUCCACCAUCCCACCAACUCUGCAAAUUGACAUCCCACCAGAGCAAGCUCAGAAGAUUAUAGCGCACAGGAGAGAACUAGGGCCAUAUGUAUUUAGAGAGGCACAGAUGACUAUUUUUGCUCUUCUGUUUAAAUUUUGGCCAAAAUUUUGUGAAUUUCGAAGCAAUUUGGCAGAUGAGAAAAUUUUGCCUACUUUGGAGGAAAAAAAGGAAAAGAAGAGACAAAAAAUGAAAAGAAAAACAACAGAGGAAAGACUCACACUCAUAAAGCAAGUGAAAAAAGUUGUCAGCUUAUCAGACAGUAUUUCUGCAGAUCAGACCAGUGUAGGUAGAAGAACACCUUCAUCUGUAACUGGAUAUGGACAACAGGUUUCCUGGUCUUAUUCCAAGUACAUAGAAGCCCUCGAGCAGGAGAGAGUACUCCUUAAAAUACAAGAAGAUCUGGAGAAAAGGACAUCAUUAUUUUCUACAGGUAUCUCAUCCAUGACCUAUUUGAAGCCUGACUUCACUGCAAAUCCAGAGAAAUCCAUCACUUCAUCAAACACAAGUCUGAUUUGGGAGAAACAGUCCAAUCUUCCCAAAGACAUGGGAAGUGAAGUACAGGAGUCGAUGGGAGAGCGAUCUGCGAUCGAUUUAGCAGGUCUUCACUAGACCCGCUAAAUCGACCACCUGUGCAUCGAUCGCCACACGUCAAUCCCCUGGAGGAUUUAAAACCUAAGUGAAGAACAGAAUGCAGAGAUAAUGAAUUAUGGCGGCCUUGGGACAAGCUAGCAGUCAAAAUAAAUAAUGUAUGGUUUGUUUUGCACUCAUCUUUUCAGAGCACAAAUAAUCAGUUGGGUUAAUUUAAGAGCCAACAGACGUUAGAAUCAAGAUAACAACGGAAAGUCCGCCAACAUACUCAGUGGCAAUAUAUUGUUCUUAUUUAUGCUGGGUGGUGCCUAGAGGCUGCAGUCAGGAUUAGGUCCAAUCACACAUAUAAACACACAGGUAGAUGUAGUUCCUGCCCCAAAGAUCUUACAGCUUCUUCAGUGCCUGAGCUAGUGAAUAAGUGCUACACCAUCUUAAAUACAGCACAAUGCAUUUGCUAAAGGAUCCCCCUGCCUUUGAUUCUAUAAUUAUCAAGCAGGGUGGCUUUGUGCACUAUGACCCCAGUUCUGCCUUUACAUACUUGCAUGCAACUUCCAUUACUGACAAUGAUUCAUGAGAUUGCAGAGCUGUCAAAAUCAAACCCUAGCCCUGUUGUUCAGUCAAUAUGAUUCCAAGCCACAAGGUUAGUGGCUUCUGUAGUACAUGGGCAUAACCCAGGUAUGGGAAAGGAAAUUCAUUGAGUUUCAAUUUGUGGUGGUUCCUAGGAAUUAUACCAAUUAUAGGAUGGGGUUUUUCUCUCUCCACGCCCAGUGGAAGAAGGCAAGGAUACAUGUGAAUCUGCGGGACCUGCCAGAGACCAGGCUAUCCACUGUAACUCCAGUGUAGCCAGCCUACCAAGAACAUCCUUGCCCUCUGCUGUUCCGAGAGCCCCUCCCUAUAAAGGAUUCAUUCCACAGCACAGAGUGGUAGGUUGUGGGAAAUUAAUUCAGCAUGUGGGCUGCGGGGGGAAUUUAGAAGAGUCCAGCCAGCCCCUUUUUCUUAAGCUCAGGGAGCUGGAACUAUAUGGAGCUCCUAUGGAAGGGUUUCUGCAGGGUUGAGGGCAAAGAUGGAACAACCUCACUUUCGUGGGUUCAGGCCCGCCCGUCACAUAUACACAGAACUUCCUAAAGUUCAGAUAGACUUUUGGUUCUAUUAUUUCUGCAUUUGUAUGCCUGAACAGCACACAUUGCAACAGUUUGCAGCUAGCAGAGCACAUGCAGUGGCAUGUGGCCGACCUCUCAUUAAAGUGAAAGGGAAAGGAGAGUUGUGCCAUGCCACCAAGGCAGUGGCAUGUCUUAGUCUAAAAGUCAGUGAGUGACUCUGCCUGUAUUCUGGGAAGUGUGUGGCAUGCUAUGAAAUGCUGCAGACUGAUGGUCUGUUUCUCAUUUGUUGUAUUCUCGCCUACAUGGUAUUUUGAAACAGUUAAAUAGCAUGAAGACAAUGUUUAUCUUUCAUUAGUAGCUUUUUACUUGAGUCAUACUUGGAUUACUUAUUAAAUGAAGCCUAUUAUCCAGAUAUAUGUCACAGAUGAUAACACUCCACAUGAAUGUAUUUCAGCCUUGCAAUAUUGUCACGAACAUUUACCAGCCCACACACAAAAACUACUCUCCCAUCCAUUACCUUGACAAUGAUGGUGAAAAAAUUACCUUACUUGCCUAUUUAAAAAAAAUACUUCUCUCAGUCAGGGAUUAGAAUUUUGCAAGGCUGGUACAAUCCAUUCAUUGCUUUAUGAACCCAAAGGUCCCCCAGAGAGCAUCCACACAGCAAUCACUCUAUAUCUAACCUAUCAGUCAUCAUCCUCAAAAGAAACUUGCAUGACACUUUCAAAUGAAGAGCCUGGGAGUUUAAAUUCAUAAUUCUGCUAGACACUAAAAUCAUGGCUGGAACAGAGAUACUGGAUUUAUGGCUUAUUACAACAAUCUGUAACCACUAACCCCCUCUUUUUGUCCUAUGACUCAGAGGAGUUAAUGGGUCACUCUGCCUUGAAUGGUCGCUUACAAUAUGUACUAAUUAUUUAUGCUAACUAAUCUGUUCCACCUUGCAUUUCGCUGGGACACUUGGAGUACCUUUCCCAGACCUGAAGAAGAGCUUUUUGUGGCUCAAAAGUGUGUCUCUCUCACCAGCAGAAGGUGGUCCUAUAAAAGAUAUUACCUCACCCACCUUGUCUCUCUGAUGUUAUUUAGUCCAUUUCACGUUUGAAUUUCUAUGUUAUAUAAAAAAAUCACAUGUAGCCAGUUUCCUGUUGAGUAUGCAUCUGAUGAGGCUCGUGUGUUAUUAAAACCACCAAAUAUAAGGAAUAUAUCAUCAUUUUUAUACAUCCGUUUUAGAGAGAAGGUGGCUGGGUUGGGUGUAAAUUUGGGGGAAUGGGUGUCUGAGUGGACAGAGCUAAGUGAUAGAGCUCCUUUCAGCUCCAGGUUACUGGCUCUAAUCUUAUCCAGUAGUGACGGAAAUUUACCACUUAAUGGCUGUUUGGUGAUGUAUCUGAAAACCACUGGUAGCGUUAGUCGAUCACCUAGUGUCAGGUAAUAGCAAUUACUAGUCUCAGCAGAGAGGCAGAGGAUUAAAUAGGUAUGGAGAUUGAAUUAUUUUCUGACUCAAGAGAUGGGAUUACUCUAGAUCACUACAAAUGGGAAUCUCAGCACUGCCUUUGGCUUUCCCUGCUCUAUGGAUAUACCAGCAUUAGGGCUGUUGAUCCAGCACUUUUCUUCAGCACUAAAUGCAGUAAAUAUUUUUUUUAAGAAGUAAAAAAGGUACAUUGUAUAUGUCUAAGAUCUCUCCCUUUUGUCAAACCAUACUUCAUUUCCAUUAGCUUCAACCAUGGGUACCUUGGUUUUUAUCAAAUGUGCCUUUUAGAAAACUGUAAGGUUCUAGCAGAACAACAGUUUUGUAUGGAGUUUGUUCUCUACAGUUUGAGGGAAAAACUCCUGUUAUUUGGUAAUAUGCAAUAUCAGAAACCAUUCCAAUCUGAUUGGUGAUUUAUCUGCUCUAGUGGUGGUGAAAACACAGAGUCUAAUUACACUUAUUUGACCAUAUACUUUUCUUGUUUAGUGCCAUGGGAUACAAUAUAUUUAGGCUUAGCAGAAUUUGUUUUUUAUUUUUUUAUAAUUUUGAAGGAUAAUAUUAAUAAGCCUUUUUUCCAGUGUUUAUCAACUGAAAUUUUCACAAUUUUGGGGUAGGUGGGUCAGGCAAUUAUUAUUUAAUGGCAGUAGACACAGAUUCAAAAACUUCAAGCUUCAUAGCUGUUAAAACACAAACUGUAAACAUCACAUGUCAAAAUAUUCAAAGUAAAUAUCCUUAAAUCAAACUCUAAUAAGUUCUUAAGCAGCACUUUUCUCUGUCUCUCUGUAAAUUUCAAUUAUUAUUGACGGAAAUAUGUUUUCAUACAUUUGUGCAUGUAAUCGAUGUUCACUGACAUUUACCAAUAAAAAAUUAAUCCUUCCAAGCCUAAAUAUAUUGAAACCGUUUGGAAUUUUUUAAUUGAUGUUUUGAAUAUAUAGAUAUUUAUACUAAGUACCUUUACCAUAUUACUUCACAUUUCUCCCAUCAAAUCUGGCAUUUUUUAUGAAAAACAUUUGUAUUCUUUGCCUAGAGUGAACAGUUUAUUUUUAAAAGCCCAGCCAUGAAGUAAUUCAUUCAAAACUCCCCUUGAUUUCAAAAGAAGUUUUGACUGAAUAAGGACUUCAGAACAGUGGCACCGGAAUGGAGUGGGGGCAAGGCCCUCCCACUUUUGAAAGUGGAUGGGUCUGUCCUGUCC
RNA transcript from Dermochelys coriacea (leatherback sea turtle), 7997 nucleotides. It is a transcript of the gene named regulator of G protein signaling 22, with no coding region annotated. Lineage: Eukaryota; Metazoa; Chordata; Testudines; Dermochelyidae. The record is from RefSeq and is a predicted model, not a curated record. The transcript has 29 exons.